CACCGCGGUUAUACGAGAGGCUCAAGUUGAUGAACCCCGGCGUAAAGAGUGGUUAAGGGAGAUCAAAACUAAAGCCGAAUGCUUUCAAAGCUGUUAUACGCUUCCGAAAGUAAGAAGCCCAAUCACGAAAGUGGCUUUACUUUACCUGACCCCACGAAAGCUACGACA
RNAcentral lists this ribosomal RNA (168 nucleotides) under Lepomis macrochirus (bluegill). Its description in RNAcentral is "partial 12S rRNA". Lineage: Eukaryota; Metazoa; Chordata; Actinopteri; Centrarchiformes; Centrarchidae. The record is from RNAcentral.